AACUCACGUCAAGCGCAACUUUGUUGGUGGAGAGGUUGUGUAUGUGUGUGAGUGAGUGAGAGUGAGAGUACUGUAGUGGUGGCUAUGGUGGCGAAGCGGUGAAUUGUCAACACAAACUGCACAAAAGCAACAGCUACCGAAUAUUAAAGCCAGCACAGUGAAUGUGCGACCAGCAGCAGGGAAAUGGGCUUUGCAUAUGGGCUGAGUGUCCGCCGAUCGCUUGCACGAAGUGGGCUUCCAGUGUGACUUGGUGAAAGGAGGAGGCAGAGCUUGGCAAGUAUUGUGUAUGAUGUACCGCUCCUAGGCAGAUCACAAGUGCACGAAGCAUCGAUUGUGAAAUGGGUUUUAAGUUCUGCACUGGGUUCGAUCCAAGUUACGAGUUUUGUCCACGUUGUAGGUUGCCUUGGUAGAAGUUCUGUGAUAUCAGUGUUGCUCAGAAAUUUAGUUCGUGCCUUUCUUGGUGACUGUGUGAGAUGCUUUCACACGUACGUGCUAUAAUUAGCUAGUGUUGAGUUGGAUGUUUGCUAGGCGUAGGAUUCGUGGUUGCAGACGCAUUCCAGGGAAGUGAGUGCAGAAUUGUGUGGAAAGUGGUCGAGCGUCCCACUGGAACCUCAAGGUUGUUCGAUUUUGUAUUCUACAAGCGUACAGUCGGAUGAACACAAGUGAUUCUGGAACAGGUAGCUGGAUUGUUAUAAAAUAUAACUGUCACGUGAACGAUGGUGAAGAAGAAUGACCUGUUCUUGCCUGAGGAAGAUCUGGCGGACCGCCGGCGCUUUUUCUCGGGGUUGAUUACUGGCCUCAUCAUAACCAUCCUCGUAUUGUCUUUCUUUCUCUUUGCGAAGCGAUUCUUCUAGCAAUGUUCGCGGCCAUCAAAGGUUAGAGUCGACUUGGACACACAACCAAUGAAGACAAUUGGAGCUCUGUGUAUGCAGCAAAAACCUUCAUGUGCACUUCCCAGUUGACCUGGAUUCCCUCGAGAAAGGGGGAGUAGAUAAGAUUCAAGUCUCAGCUUCUCAUAUAAUCUCUGCUGAGGAAAUUGUAAUAAGGGUACAGUAGAAAUGAGGCCAGCAACAAGCUAAAUCCAUGGUCUUGUUUUCUGAAUCCAUAAAUCUCUAAACUUGGUGGUGGAGUCAACAUUGCAUGCAUGCCAGACGCUUGUUGCCAUUUUCUAAGUUAACUGAAAGGUCAGUAUUCAACUUGCAAUGUAGUUCAUUGGAAGCACAUCUUUUGGGAGGCUGGUUAGUAAAAUCGAAUGAAAUAUACUUUUCACAUUGCAGCUC
This is a non-coding RNA of Physcomitrium patens, 1280 nucleotides long. The record is from RefSeq and is a predicted model, not a curated record. Lineage: Eukaryota; Viridiplantae; Streptophyta; Bryopsida; Funariales; Funariaceae.